CGCUGUCGUUCCACGAUGCCAGAGCACGAGAGCCGCUGUCGCCGAGUUGCGCUUUGAAAGCAAGCAACGCGGCCUCGUCGUCAGCGCUCACCAUGGCGAUCAUCAGGGCAGCGGCGAGUGACCAUAUUACGAAGCUCAUGACCACUUUCCCGGAGGAGGCGGCCAUGACCCACCAUCAAUGGCUGCUACAAGAGAGCGAUGCCGGCGCAUCGUGUUCGAAAAUCAUCGCUGCAAGGAAAAGAUAAUCCAAUGGUACUACCAUUUUCGUCUCCCUUUUGUACUUCGUUGCCAACAGGUCUGUACCAGAGUUUGGCUUCUGCUGAGUUUGAAGCCCAGUGGAGAUUGGAAGAUGGAUUCUGCAUUUCUGCAUCCCGUGUCAACAUCCGGAUAUCUGACUGACUCUGCUAAAAUGACACUUGGUCCAUUGUUUCAUCUGCUAUACUGAAUUUGUAGCGACUGUACUGAAUUUGCAGAGGCUGCAGCAGUGGCUCCCCCGCACUCCUCCGGGCCACCCUCUCUUCCUCCCAACCCAAACCCUCUCUUCCUCUGCUUCCUUCCCAUACCGCCACCAAUGGCUCCCCCGCACUUCUCCGGGCUUCCACCCUCCCCGUCCUCUCCCGCCUGAAGCCGCACCCUAGGACUCCAGCCCCGCCCCUUACCUUCCGCCACCACCAGGGCCGUCACCAAGUUCCACGUCCUAUUAGGUUUCGUCCUGUAGUGCUAAUUGCUGUUUUGAAUCUUGUUGUCUUGGAGCAGUAGCGCUCGCUAGUACUUGACGGGAAUUGAUGCAUGAUGGCUGCUCCGCAGUCAGGUAAAUUUGGCCGCUGUUACUCGUUAGAAGAACUUCUGUAUCCGCCAGUUUGUUUCUGCCGCGUGAAUCUAUGCUUUUGUGCUGCUUCCUGCCUGCUGUCAAAUUUUAUUCAGUUUCUACUGGAAACGCUCAACGAGUCAACGUUAUGGAAAUUUCUGCUUCUAUUUCGCCGUGUUUUCCUUCACAUGGACAAUGUUCUGUGCGUUGUCUGAACUUCUGUCUGCUGAUUUGCUUGGAGCAAUAAAUUCAUGUUGCCAGUAUACUUGUUCGAGAAUGAUGUUUUUUGCAUCACUGGAUCUCUGAAAUCUUUGGAACUAGAAGCCAUGUAUAUUGUCUGGUUAUUUUUUAGUGCUAUUGUGGAACACUGAGGCUUUACAUUUUA
Brachypodium distachyon (stiff brome) is the source of this 1193-nucleotide long non-coding RNA. RefSeq lists it as uncharacterized. The transcript has 2 exons. NCBI's taxonomy places the organism in Eukaryota, Viridiplantae, Streptophyta, Magnoliopsida, Poales, Poaceae. The record is from RefSeq and is a predicted model, not a curated record.